AAGGUUCCCGUCUUCAGUGCAGGUUGCAGGCGGGAACCGGCCUCGUCCCAGCCCUGGGCCUGGGAGAGAGAAGGAGGCCGAAGAAAACCAACUUCGGCAACCUCCGGAGACAGGACGUUUAAAAAAGGCUAACUUGGCUGGGCGCUGAGGCUCACGCCUGUAAUCCCAGCACUUUGGGAGGCCGAGGCAGGAGGAUCACUUGAGCUCAGGAACCAGCCUGGGCAACAUGGCGAGACCCCAUGUCUACAAAAAAAAAAAAAAAAAAAUUAGCCAGUCAUGGUGGUGCGCGCCUGCAGUCCCAGCUACCCCGGAGGCCGACGCGGGAGGAUCGCUGGAGCCGAAAGGUCGAGGCUGCCGUGAGCCGAGGUUGCACCACUGCACUCCAGCCUGGGCGACAGCGCAAGACCCUGUCUAAAAAUAAAUUUAAAAAAAAUUGCGAGGCCUUCAUUCUAUGCUAGUACUGUACUAGGUGCUAAUUAUUAAGUAAAACCGACUGAACUCUUGCCCUCAUGGAGCUUACAGUUCAGUGGAGAAGACAUUACCUAAAGCAGUAUGACUAAAUAUAUAAUGACAUAUUGUAAUAACUUACAUAACAGUACAAUGAGAGGGUGGGGAGGGAUUAUUUAUGCUUUAAGAAGUCGGGAAUCCUGGAACGGAAUGACAUUAGACUGAGACACGGAAGAGCCGCAGGAUCUAUUGCUGGGGAAGAGCAUUCCAGACAGGGAGGAACUCGUGCCGAAUGAUCCCGCUGUGGACAGGGAAUUUAAUCUGAGCUUCGGUUUCCUCUUCUGUCAAAUGUCAUGCAAGAGUUACUUUCAGCCGUGGUCCAGGCACUGUGAAAAAUGCAGAAGCCACACUAGGUGCCCUCUCUCAGGAUUCCCAACCACCUUUACCAAGCAGAGAUGGUAUUCAUCCCACAUUUUUAAUGCUAGAUAUGCUCCCGCCCGGUGCUUCUCUAAUAAUGUUUUUUAAAAGCCGAAGCUGG
This 985-nucleotide long non-coding RNA is filed under the name Homo sapiens (human). RNAcentral's name for it is "non-protein coding lnc-RNASEH1-12:4". The record is from RNAcentral. Lineage: Eukaryota; Metazoa; Chordata; Mammalia; Primates; Hominidae.